AACUUUGAGCGGUGGAUCACUCUGCUCGUGUGUCGAUGAAGAGUGCAGCCGACUGUGUGAAUUAAUGUGAACUGCAUACUACUUUGAACAUCGACAUCUUGAACGCAUAUUGCGGCUACGGGAUAUCCUGUAGCCACGCCUGUCCGAGGGUCA
RNAcentral lists this ribosomal RNA (153 nucleotides) under Schistosoma curassoni. RNAcentral describes it as "5.8S ribosomal RNA". It matches the Rfam family "5.8S ribosomal RNA". From Rfam's summary of the family: 5.8S ribosomal RNA (5.8S rRNA) is a component of the large subunit of the eukaryotic ribosome. It is transcribed by RNA polymerase I as part of the 45S precursor that also contains 18S and 28S rRNA. Functionally, it is thought that 5.8S rRNA may be involved in ribosome translocation. Lineage: Eukaryota; Metazoa; Platyhelminthes; Trematoda; Strigeidida; Schistosomatidae. The record is from Rfam by way of RNAcentral.